GGCAGACGGGUGAGUAACAUGUAGGUAUCUACCCUUUGGCCUGGAAUAACACGAGGAAACUUGUGCUAAUACCGGAUAAGUCUUUACGGAGAAAGCUUUAUGCACCAUUGGAUGAGCCUGCACUUGAUUAGUUUGUUGGUGGGGUAAUGGCCUACCAAGACUGUGAUCAAUAGCUGAUUUGAGAGGAUGAUCAGCCACAUUGGGACUGAGACACGGCCCAAACUCCUACGGGAGGCAGCAGUGGGGAAUCUUGCACAAUGGAGGAAACUCUGAUGCAGCGAUGCCGCGUGAGUGAAGAAGGCCUUUGGGUUGUAAAGCUCUUUCGUCGGGGAAGAAAAUGACUGUACCCGAAUAAGAAGGUCCGGCUAACUUCGUGCCAGCAGCCGCGGUAAUACGAAGGGACCUAGCGUAGUUCGGAAUUACUGGGCUUAAAGAGUUCGUAGGUGGUUGAAAAAGUUAGUGGUGAAAUCCCAAAGCUUAACUCUGGAACUGCCAUUAAAACUUUUCAGCUAGAGUAUGAUAGAGGAAAGCAGAAUUUCUAGUGUAGAGGUGAAAUUCGUAGAUAUUAGAAAGAAUACCAAUUGCGAAGGCAGCUUUCUGGAUCAUUACUGACACUGAGGAACGAAAGCAUGGGUAGCGAAGAGGAUUAGAUACCCUCGUAGUCCAUGCCGUAAACGAUGUGUGUUAGACGUUGGAAAUUUAUUUUCAGUGUCGCAGCGAAAGCGAUAAACACAC
Molecule: ribosomal RNA, 735 nt
Filed under: uncultured marine bacterium
Lineage: Bacteria
Description: bacterial SSU rRNA
Rfam family: Bacterial small subunit ribosomal RNA
Source: RNAcentral